UUCCUUCUCUCUCUGGUCCCUUAGAUUUAUUCCAUUUUCUCAGACGAGCUCAAAUGUCUGCAAUGGCGGCUUGCACUGUGAAUGUGCUCAGGUGACUGGCUCCAGCGACUCUGCUUCAUCGACGUGCUGCGUGGUGCUCAGAAAGUCUUGAUCCCAGUUUUGCAAGAGACAGGUAGGUUACACAAGGCAAUCUCAUCUGAUGUUGGAUGAUUUCAUUAAGGUA
Molecule: long non-coding RNA, 223 nt
Organism: Humulus lupulus (European hop)
Lineage: Eukaryota; Viridiplantae; Streptophyta; Magnoliopsida; Rosales; Cannabaceae
Exons: 2
Source: RefSeq, a predicted model, not a curated record